Long non-coding RNA from Caretta caretta (loggerhead turtle), 1317 nucleotides. RefSeq lists it as uncharacterized. NCBI's taxonomy places the organism in Eukaryota, Metazoa, Chordata, Testudines, Cheloniidae. The record is from RefSeq and is a predicted model, not a curated record.
CCUUAUCUGGGAAAGGGGAAGCCAGGGAGCUGUGCAGAGCCCCUGGGCCUCCAUGUGGCUGUUCCUGCUUCAUGCAGGUGCCCUGAGAUUUGUGUAGAUUCCAGGGUUAGGGAGGAAAGACCAGUUUCUAUUUUGGUAGUAGGGGAGUAAAAGAUGACCUUGCACCUACUGAGGGGAUAUUCGGGUAGAAACCCCUUGAAUCAACAUUCAAAAAGUUUCCAAGUCCCUAUGCAGAAAAACCAAAGGCAAGGGAAAGGAUUGUUUGGCUUUAUUUAAUUUAGCUCUCUAUGGGCAUUACUAAGGUAUCCAGUCUCCUGUGAGUCCCUCCAUGUAAAAGAUAAAUCUAACUGUCUCAUGUAUUUGUUAAUUUAUGUAUAAAUAAAUUUAUAAGACAGCCUAGCCUUGUUUACUCAUGUAAUAUAUUUCUCUCUCAACUGCAGCUUAACAAAUGGUGUUCAACAUGGCCCAUCUUGCAGGAUACAGACUGCUCCUUGUGCUAAAUAAACAAGAGACAGUGACUUUGGAAUACCUUUUGAUAAUAGCUGGAGAAUGCAAUUUUUGGAAGUUGCAUUCUCCCAGGACAAAGACACAAAGCAUAAAUCAGAAUCUUCAAGAAACACCCCAACCUAGUGACAUAAACAAUGGUGUAAGCUGCAUAUCAGUCGUAAAUUGGUGAGAAAACAGGUGCAAGUGAUGAUGUUGUGUAAUUUGCACUGAUCAGUCAUUCAGUUGGGAAGUAAAAUGCAUGCAGCUUUUCCUGGGAAGGAACAGAAAGGAGGAAAGUGGAGCAGGACAAACAAUUUCCUGGAGGAUGCAAAAGAGAGUAAGAGCACCAGGAUGUUCCCAUUCUCUCUUACACCAUCACUUAUUAAUUAUCACAAUAUCACUGCUGAAUAUGAUCCAAGGAUUUCCAUGGGAAUAGCUUCCAUUUACACCGGGUCUGAAUUUCUCAUUGCUUAAUGCGUUCAAGAAGGAAGAAUACAUUUUGAGACUUUUAAUUUAUGGGACAUUUAACCGUACUGCUUAGAUACAGGCAUCUCAGAGAGAUGAACAUUUAAAGUAUGGCCUGUUAGAUUUCUUGUUGUAAUUCUUAGAAACCAAGCUGAUAGAUGCCUUAGAAAUACCUAAAAUAGAUAAAGUACUAUUUAUAUUUUGUAGAUUAAAGAAUUUGCAUUGAAAUGAAAGUAUUGGAAUGUGAUACAUGAUAGUGUUUAUAGUUGCUUAGGGUCAUCUAUAUAAAGGAGAUGUUACAUCUGGAGUGUGAAAUUAAAAAACAACCCUUUUACUAUCUUUAAUUUUUUCUUGUUGUGUAGUAAA